This 497-nucleotide ribosomal RNA is filed under the name uncultured bacterium. RNAcentral's name for it is "partial 16S ribosomal RNA". It matches the Rfam family "Bacterial small subunit ribosomal RNA", at positions 28 to 507 of the family's 1533-position model. The record is from RNAcentral.
GAUGAACGCUGGCGGCGUGCCUAAUACAUGCAAGUCGAGCGAACGGACGAGAAGCUUGCUUCUCUGAUGUUAGCGGCGGACGGGUGAGUAACACGUGGAUAACCUACCUAUAAGACUGGGAUAACUUCGGGAAACCGGAGCUAAUACCGGAUAAUAUUUUGAACCGCAUGGUUCAAAAGUGAAAGACGGUCUUGCUGUCACUUAUAGAUGGAUCCGCGCUGCAUUAGCUAGUUGGUAAGGUAACGGCUUACCAAGGCAACGAUGCAUAGCCGACCUGAGAGGGUGAUCGGCCACACUAGAACUGAGACACGGUCCAGACUCCUACGGGAGGCAGCAGUAGGGAAUCUUCCGCCAUGGGCGACAGCCUGACGGAGCAACGCCGCGUGAGUGAUGAAGGUCUUCGGAUCGUAAAACUCUGUUAUUAGGGAAGAACAUAUGUGUAAGUAACUGUGCACAUCUUGACGGUACCUAAUCAGAAAGCCACGGCUAACUACGUG